This 77-nucleotide transfer RNA is filed under the name Moraxella sp. Its description in RNAcentral is "tRNA-fMet(cat)". It matches the Rfam family "tRNA". From Rfam's summary of the family: Transfer RNA (tRNA) molecules are approximately 80 nucleotides in length. Their secondary structure includes four short double-helical elements and three loops (D, anti-codon, and T loops). Lineage: Bacteria; Pseudomonadati; Pseudomonadota; Gammaproteobacteria; Moraxellales; Moraxellaceae. The record is from RNAcentral. RNAcentral also lists the same sequence under 9 other names.
CGCGGGGUGGAGCAGUCUGGUAGCUCGUCGGGCUCAUAACCCGAAGGUCGUUGGUUCAAAUCCAGCCCCCGCUACCA